RNAcentral lists this ribosomal RNA (839 nucleotides) under Marivirga sp. RNAcentral describes it as "bacterial SSU rRNA". It matches the Rfam family "Bacterial small subunit ribosomal RNA", at positions 66 to 906 of the family's 1533-position model. The record is from RNAcentral. Lineage: Bacteria; Pseudomonadati; Bacteroidota; Cytophagia; Cytophagales; Marivirgaceae.
ACGAGAUUUAUGACUUCGGUUAUAAUGAAAGUGGCGCACGGGUGCGUAACGCGUAUGCAACCUACCUUUUACAGGGGGAUAGCCCGGGGAAACUCGGAUUAAUACCCCAUGGUAUCAUAAAAUCGCAUGGUUUAAUGAUUAAAGAUUUAUCGGUAAAAGAUGGGCAUGCGUCUGAUUAGCUAGAUGGUGAGGUAAAGGCUCACCAUGGCGAUGAUCAGUAGGGGUUCUGAGAGGAUGAUCCCCCACACUGGUACUGAGACACGGACCAGACUCCUACGGGAGGCAGCAGUAGGGAAUAUUGGUCAAUGGGCGAGAGCCUGAACCAGCCAUGCCGCGUGUAGGAUGACGGCCUUCUGGGUUGUAAACUACUUUUCUACAGGAAGAAAACGGCUAUGCGUAGCCAAUUGACGGUACUGUAGGAAUAAGCACCGGCUAACUCCGUGCCAGCAGCCGCGGUAAUACGGAGGGUGCGAGCGUUGUCCGGAUUUAUUGGGUUUAAAGGGUGCGUAGGUGGCUAUUUAAGCCAGUGGUGAAAGCCCAUCGCUUAACGAUGGAACUGCCAUUGGAACUGAAUAGCUUGAGUAUCGUUGAAGUAGGCGGAAUUUAUGGUGUAGCGGUGAAAUGCAUAGAUACCAUAAAGAACACCGAUAGCGUAAGCAGCUUGCUAAGCGAUAACUGACACUGAGGCACGAAAGCAUGGGGAGCGAACAGGAUUAGAUACCCUGGUAGUCCAUGCCGUAAACGAUAAUUACUCGCUGUUGGCGAUAUACAGUCAGCGGCCAAGCGAAAGCGUUAAGUAAUCCACCUGGGGAGUACGUCCCCAAGGAUGAAACUCAAAG